Oncorhynchus kisutch (coho salmon) is the source of this 3265-nucleotide long non-coding RNA. RefSeq lists it as uncharacterized. The record is from RefSeq and is a predicted model, not a curated record. The transcript is spliced from 4 exons. NCBI's taxonomy places the organism in Eukaryota, Metazoa, Chordata, Actinopteri, Salmoniformes, Salmonidae.
CCAUACAGUUAGCAGCCAUUGCUAACUAACUUAGUAGCUAGGUAGCGUUACCUAGAUAGCUAACCUCUUGACCAUCCAAGUCCUGUCUCCAACGAGGAUUAAAGACUACAUGGGUUGUUCUCAACACACGUUUAACCAGGUGGAGUCAGGCUUCUACUCAGGAGACAGAUGAUGCUGCUGCCCCACGGUAAGAACCUGGAGAUCUUCACUGAGGGAGGUGACGUGGCCACAAACAUUCAUAGACAGAGCUAUGGAUGCAAGGACAGACCUUUGCUCCUCCUAAAACCCCAUUGGAGGAGAUGACCCAAGGUUCUUCGCCUCAGACCUGCUCCAAUAGGAUUUGAGAAGGAUGCAAGUAGAGGAAAUGGCUCCUGGAUGCUGAUGAAAUCUGACUGAAAUUAGACUGUAGUCAAUAAAACUUUCAAUGCCAAAUUGAAAUCAUGAUUCUGUAAUUGAUAGAAAAUGAUAGUUCCCAAUCAGACAAUUACUACAUAUCAAAUCUGUUUCUCAGUGCAAUGUUUAGUGAAUGCAUGGCAUCGUUUUUGCUGUGUGUACUGAUUCAGUUCUAAACGACCAUCAUCGAGUCCAUUCUCAACCUCCUUGAUCACUGCAACAAUUGGCCGGUCUGCUGAGAGGGUUAUUGGCUGCCACCUGCCCUCCAUUGAGGUCUCGCAUGACUCCAGGGCAAGGAAGCGUGCGGAAAAGAUCAUUGCCGACCCCUUCCACCCUUUUCCAAACGGUUCAGGUCAAUCACGACCAAACCCCCCCCCCGCCACCUGAACAGCUCCUUCCCCCGCGCCGUGGCCCUCACCAACCGGCCACCUGGUCCACCAUGAUUCUCUCAUCCAUGGACUUUGAACUCUGCCCUAUUCAUCCACAGACUAUGCACCCUGCACCAUUAUCCAGGAACUGCACAUUGCACAUCUCUUCCGUACAUAAUUUAGCCAGGUCCCAUUAGACUGAAAUUCAAACCAAAAAGGUGCCAAGACUUUAAAGAGAGAAAUUGAGAGUGAAAACUUGACCAUGAAAAGUUAUUAUUGCUGGUGGACAAUUUGAUGCAUUCAAAUGUAUUUUUACAUGUUUGAAUCACGUUUCUUUGCUUCCAGUUUGAUAUGUAUUAUUUAAGACAUUUUUCUGUGGCAAUUAUGUUCUGCUCGUAGGAGUUGAAGUUAGCUGGAUACCCAAUAAGCUUGUUGUUGAGUGAGAACUUCAGCGAUUGAAAUACUUAGCAAAGAGCUGCAGUUAGUUUUGGAAUGGGUAGAAAGGAAUAAGUUAGUCCUAAAUAUUUCCAAAACUAAAAGCAUUGCAUCUGGGAAAAAUCCCUCACUAAACCCUAAACACGUCUCGUAAUGAAUAUGGAAAUUGAGCAAAUUGUGGUGACUAAACUGCUUGGAGUAACCCUGGAUUGUAAACUGUCAUGGCCUAAACAUAUUGAUGCAACAGUAGAUAAGAUGGGGAGAUGUCUCUCCAUAAUAAAGUGCUGCUCUACCUUAACAACACUAUCAACAAGGCAGGUACUACAGGCCCUAGUUUUGUCGCACCUAGACUACUGUUCAGUAGUGUGGUCACAGAGGGACUUGUAGGUGGCUCAGAACAGGGCAGCACGGCUGGCCCUUAAAAGUACACAGAGAGCGAACAAUGACAUGCAUGUCAAUCUCUCAUGGCUCAAAGUGGGAGAGAGAUUGACUUCCUUAUUACUUGUUUUUGUAAGAGGUGUUGACAAGCUGAAUGUCCGGAGCUGUCUGUUUAAACUACUAGCACACAGCUCGGACACCCAUGCAUACCCCACACAAGACAUGCCACCAGAGGUCUCUUCACAGUCCCCAAGUCCAGAACAGACUAUGGGAGACGCACAGUACUAAAUAGAGCCAUGACUACAUGGAACUCUAUUUCACAUCAGGUAACUGAUGCAAGCAGAAUAAUCAUAUGUGUAUUUCUACCUGCUUUUUACCUCGUGGAAUAACAGGGACUGUGAAGAGACACACACAAAAGGUACAGACCCAUGCAUACACACACACACACACACAGUGAUAUUGUUAUUGAACAUUUGUGUUGUGGAUAUGUGGUGGUGUAGGGAUGUUAUAUGAUAUACUGUUUUAUCUUUAGCUCAUUCAGUACAAACAUAGUUCACUGUUAUCUGUUGUUUUAGAAGUAAUGUGGGUGCUUUAGUGUGUUUGGACCCCAGGAAGGGUAGCUGCUGCCUUGGCCGCAGCUAAUGGGCAUCCCUAUUUUUUUUUAAUGUAUCCGUUAUUUUACCAGGUAAGUUGACUGAGAACACGUUCUCAUUUACAGCAACAGCCUGGGGAAUAGUUACAGGGGAGAGGAGGGGGAUGAAUGAGCCAAUUGUAAACUGGGGAUUAUUAGGUGACCGUGAUGGUUUGAGGGCCAGAUUGGGAAUUUGGCCAGGACACCGGGGUUAACACCCCUACACUUAUGAUAAGUGCAAUGGGAUCUUUAAUGUCCCAUCCGAAAGAUGGCACUCUACACAGGGUAGUGUCCCCAAUCACUGCCCUGGGGUAUUGGGAUAUUUUUAGACCAGAGGAAAGAGUGCCUCCUACGUGCCCUCCAACACCACUUCCAGCAGCAUCUGGUCUCCCAUCCAGGGACUGUCCAGGACCAACCCUGCUUAGCUUCAGAAGCAAGCCAGCAGUGGUAUGCAGGGUGGUAUGCUGCUGGCAAAUAAUAAAUAGACAUUUCAUAUUUAGCCUAGCUAGCCAGUUAUAUUUGUGUAGCAAAGUAGUGCGCAACAGCCAUGGAAUACUGCAUACAUUUUAAAAGACAUUACAUCAUAAAUAGUAUGAAAAUGAGCACAUACUACGCAGUUUAAGUACAGUAUGUUGGAUGCAACAUACUGGAUGCUAUUAUGGGUAUUCGGACAUGGCGAGUGUCUGUGUUAUCGCAGGAUCCAUGUUCCAGUUGAUAGAUCCUAUAGAAGGCAGACUGAUGGCAGCACCUGGUAGGGGAUUAACCUGAGGCGCCAUCUGUCUCUCUGAAUCUCAACUAUAGGAGCAGGACGGAGCAUCGCUAGCAGAGUCUGUCUGUCUUCUCUCCCGCCGCAAACCGACACCUCCCAGUCUCCGCAGACUAAAUCUACGCUUCAUCCUGGUCUCAGUCAGUCUGUUGUAGUGAAGAUUAAGUUUGGUUGUUUUGUGUUCGACUGUCUGUUUCUGGUUAACAGUGUUGUUCCCCAGUCCAGAGUUGAGGACACUGUCCCAUCCACUGACCUCCACUAUGUCGCCUCUGGUCCUGUCCUGCUCAGUGAUAU